GAUGAACGCUGGCGGCGUGCCUAAUACAUGCAAGUCGAGCGAACAGAUGAGGAGCUUGCUCCUCUGACGUUAGCGGCGGACGGGUGAGUAACACGUGGAUAACCUACCUAUAAGACUGGGAUAACUUCGGGGAACCGGAGCUAAUACCGGAUAAUAUAUUGAACCGCAUGGUUCAAUAGUGAAAGACGGUUUUGCUGUCACUUAUAGAUGGAUCCGCGCCGCAUUAGCUAGUUGGUAAGGUAACGGCUUACCAAGGCAACGAUGCGUAGCCGACCUGAGAGGGUGAUCGGCCACACUGGAACUGAGACACGGUCCAGACUCCUACGGGAGGCAGCAGUAGGGAAUCUUCCGCAAUGGGCGAAAGCCUGACGGAGCAACGCCGCGUGAGCGAUGAAGGUCUUCGGAUCGUAAAACUCUGUUAUUAGGGAAGAACAAAUGUGUAAGUAACUAUGCACGUCUUGACGGUACCUAAUCAGAAAGCCACGGCUAACUACGUG
RNAcentral lists this ribosomal RNA (497 nucleotides) under uncultured bacterium. Its description in RNAcentral is "partial 16S ribosomal RNA". It matches the Rfam family "Bacterial small subunit ribosomal RNA", at positions 28 to 507 of the family's 1533-position model. The record is from RNAcentral.